Molecule: long non-coding RNA, 380 nt
Filed under: Nicotiana benthamiana
Lineage: Eukaryota; Viridiplantae; Streptophyta; Magnoliopsida; Solanales; Solanaceae
Description: long non-coding RNA (NBEN_LNC030039)
Source: RNAcentral
UUAAAAACUGGAGCUGAAUGAGUAGCAAUACCCUUCUGUUUUCUCACUUCCUCAAAUGUAACCUCAGUGGUACAUUGUUCCUUCUGAGCUGGUUGCUGGAUAUGAGCUUCCUGCGUAUCUUGAACAGGAUGAAUUGGGGCCUUUGCUCUCCAUUCCUGAAUCACCUUAGGCUUCUGUAUGUUGUUAGACUGGGUAGGCUUAGCCAGACAAUUGUGCCCAACUGUAAGGCAUUUCCCACAAAAAGAAGGUUUCCAAUCAUAGGUUACAUCCUGUAGGAAAAGCUUCCCAUCUGGAUCCAUUAUCUCAAUUUCACUAGGUAACUCUUUUGAAACAUUCACCUCAAUAAGGAUCCGAGCAUAUGAGAUUCUGGUUUGUUUAGU